UGCAUAUCAAUAAGCGGAGGAAAAGAAACUAACAAGGAUUCCCUUAGUAACGGCGAGUGAACCGGGAAGAGCUCAAAUUUGUAAUCUGGCGUCCUUCGGGCGUCCGAGUUGUAAUCUAUAGAGGUGUUUUCCGCGCUGGACCACGUUUAAGUCUCCUGGAACGGAGUAUCAAAGAGGGUGACAAUCCCGUGCUUGACGUGACGACCAGUGCUAUGUGAUACACUCUCAACGAGUCGAGUUGUUUGGGAAUGCAGCUCUAAAUGGGUGGUAAAUUCCAUCUAAGGCUAAAUAUUGGCGAGAGACCGAUAGCGAACAAGUACCGUGAGGGAAAGAUGAAAAGCACUUUGGAAAGAGAGUUAAACAGCACGUGAAAUUGUUAAAAGGGAAACGAUUGAAGUCAGUCGUGCACUUGGUAUUCAGCCGUCUCUGGCGGUGUAUUUGCCUUGUGCGGGUCAACAUCAGUUCUGAUCGGCGGAAAAGGGCUGGAAGAAGGUGGCACCCUCGGGUGUGUUAUAGCUUCCUGUCGUAUACGUCGGUUGGGACUGAGGAAUGCAGCUUGCCGCAAGGCCGGGGUUCGCCCACGUUCAAGCUUAGGAUGUUGACAUAAUGGCUUUAAACGACCCGUCUUGAAACACGGACCGA
RNAcentral lists this ribosomal RNA (642 nucleotides) under Cryptococcus sp. TGP907AX-Y25. RNAcentral describes it as "LSU rRNA". It matches the Rfam family "Eukaryotic large subunit ribosomal RNA", at positions 37 to 669 of the family's 3401-position model. The record is from RNAcentral. Lineage: Eukaryota; Fungi; Basidiomycota; Tremellomycetes; Tremellales; Cryptococcaceae.